GGUUAAGCGACUAAGCGUACACGGUGGAUGCCCUGGCAGUCAGAGGCGAUGAAGGACGUGCUAAUCUGCGAUAAGCGUCGGUAAGGUGAUAUGAACCGUUAUAACCGGCGAUUUCCGAAUGGGGAAACCCAGUGUGAUUCGUCACACUAUCAUUAACUGAAUCCAUAGGUUAAUGAGGCGAACCGGGGGAACUGAAACAUCUAAGUACCCCGAGGAAAAGAAAUCAACCGAGAUUCCCCCAGUAGCGGCGAGCGAACGGGGAGCAGCCCAGAGCCUGAAUCAGUGUGUGUGUUAGUGGAAGCGUCUGGAAAGGGCGUGCGAUACAGGGUGACAGCCCCGUACACAAAAAUGCACAUGCUGUGAGCUCGAUGAGUAGGGCGGGACACGUGGUAUCCUGUCUGAAUAUGGGGGGACCAUCCUCCAAGGCUAAAUACUCCUGACUGACCGAUAGUGAACCAGUACCGUGAGGGAAAGGCGAAAAGAACCCCGGCGAGGGGAGUGAAAAAGAACCUGAAACCGUGUACGUACAAGCAGUGGGAGCACGCUUAGGCGUGUGACUGCGUACCUUUUGUAUAAUGGGUCAGCGACUUAUAUUCUGUAGCAAGGUUAACCGAAUAGGGGAGCCGAAGGGAAACCGAGUCUUAACUGGGCGUUAAGUUGCAGGGUAUAGACCCGAAACCCGGUGAUCUAGCCAUGGGCAGGUUGAAGGUUGGGUAACACUAACUGGAGGACCGAACCGACUAAUGUUGAAAAAUUAGCGGAUGACUUGUGGCUGGGGGUGAAAGGCCAAUCAAACCGGGAGAUAGCUGGUUCUCCCCGAAAGCUAUUUAGGUAGCGCCUCGUGAAUUCAUCUCCGGGGGUAGAGCACUGUUUCGGCAAGGGGGUCAUCCCGACUUACCAACCCGAUGCAAACUGCGAAUACCGGAGAAUGUUAUCACGGGAGACACACGGCGGGUGCUAACGUCCGUCGUGAAGAGGGAAACAACCCAGACCGCCAGCUAAGGUCCCAAAGUCAUGGUUAAGUGGGAAACGAUGUGGGAAGGCCCAGACAGCCAGGAUGUUGGCUUAGAAGCAGCCAUCAUUUAAAGAAAGCGUAAUAGCUCACUGGUCGAGUCGGCCUGCGCGGAAGAUGUAACGGGGCUAAACCAUGCACCGAAGCUGCGGCAGCGACGCUGAUGCGUUGUUGGGUAGGGGAGCGUUCUGUAAGCCUGCGAAGGUGUGCUGUGAGGCAUGCUGGAGGUAUCAGAAGUGCGAAUGCUGACAUAAGUAACGAUAAAGCGGGUGAAAAGCCCGCUCGCCGGAAGACCAAGGGUUCCUGUCCAACGUUAAUCGGGGCAGGGUGAGUCGACCCCUAAGGCGAGGCCGAAAGGCGUAGUCGAUGGGAAACAGGUUAAUAUUCCUGUACUUGGUGUUACUGCGAAGGGGGGACGGAGAAGGCUAUGUUGGCCGGGCGACGGUUGUCCCGGUUUAAGCGUGUAGGCUGGUUUUCCAGGCAAAUCCGGAAAAUCAAGGCUGAGGCGUGAUGACGAGGCACUACGGUGCUGAAGCAACAAAUGCCCUGCUUCCAGGAAAAGCCUCUAAGCAUCAGGUAACAUCAAAUCGUACCCCAAACCGACACAGGUGGUCAGGUAGAGAAUACCAAGGCGCUUGAGAGAACUCGGGUGAAGGAACUAGGCAAAAUGGUGCCGUAACUUCGGGAGAAGGCACGCUGAUAUGUAGGUGAAGUCCCUCGCGGAUGGAGCUGAAAUCAGUCGAAGAUACCAGCUGGCUGCAACUGUUUAUUAAAAACACAGCACUGUGCAAACACGAAAGUGGACGUAUACGGUGUGACGCCUGCCCGGUGCCGGAAGGUUAAUUGAUGGGGUCAGCGCAAGCGAAGCUCUUGAUCGAAGCCCCGGUAAACGGCGGCCGUAACUAUAACGGUCCUAAGGUAGCGAAAUUCCUUGUCGGGUAAGUUCCGACCUGCACGAAUGGCGUAAUGAUGGCCAGGCUGUCUCCACCCGAGACUCAGUGAAAUUGAACUCGCUGUGAAGAUGCAGUGUACCCGCGGCAAGACGGAAAGACCCCGUGAACCUUUACUAUAGCUUGACACUGAACAUUGAGCCUUGAUGUGUAGGAUAGGUGGGAGGCUUUGAAGUGUGGACGCCAGUCUGCAUGGAGCCGACCUUGAAAUACCACCCUUUAAUGUUUGAUGUUCUAACGUUGACCCGUAAUCCGGGUUGCGGACAGUGUCUGGUGGGUAGUUUGACUGGGGCGGUCUCCUCCUAAAGAGUAACGGAGGAGCACGAAGGUUGGCUAAUCCUGGUCGGACAUCAGGAGGUUAGUGCAAUGGCAUAAGCCAGCUUGACUGCGAGCGUGACGGCGCGAGCAGGUGCGAAAGCAGGUCAUAGUGAUCCGGUGGUUCUGAAUGGAAGGGCCAUCGCUCAACGGAUAAAAGGUACUCCGGGGAUAACAGGCUGAUACCGCCCAAGAGUUCAUAUCGACGGCGGUGUUUGGCACCUCGAUGUCGGCUCAUCACAUCCUGGGGCUGAAGUAGGUCCCAAGGGUAUGGCUGUUCGCCAUUUAAAGUGGUACGCGAGCUGGGUUUAGAACGUCGUGAGACAGUUCGGUCCCUAUCUGCCGUGGGCGCUGGAGAACUGAGGGGGCUGCUCCUAGUACGAGAGGACCGGAGUGGACGCAUCACUGGUGUUCGGGUUGUCAUGCCAAUGGCACUGCCCGGUAGCUAAAUGCGGAAGAGAUAAGUGCUGAAAGCAUCUAAGCACGAAACUUGCCCCGAGAUGAGUUCUCCCUGACUCCUUGAGAGUCCUGAAGGAACGUUGAAGACGACGACGUUGAUAGGCCGGGUGUGUAAGCGCAGCGAUGCGUUGAGCUAACCGGUACUAAUGAACCGUGAGGCUUAACCUU
RNAcentral lists this ribosomal RNA (2904 nucleotides) under Escherichia coli. RNAcentral's name for it is "23S ribosomal RNA". It matches the Rfam family "Bacterial large subunit ribosomal RNA". The record is from RNAcentral. Lineage: Bacteria; Pseudomonadati; Pseudomonadota; Gammaproteobacteria; Enterobacterales; Enterobacteriaceae.